UAGAAUCAUAUAUAAAUUUUAUGAAUUGGUUUCUCUAUGAUUUAGUACAUCAAGUUGUCUGAUGAAUGUAUUUUGUAUUUGUGGGAACCUCUUUGAGGUGGGAUUUGGUAAAUCAUGAGGUUAUUUUAAAGUAUAUUAUGUAUUAAAAUGUUUUUUGAUUAGAGAUAUGGUAUAUAAUCAUUAUUCUGACAAAGAUAUGUUUGUGAGCUUUCGAAAUCUUAUAUAUAUGACUUAAGCAUAUUGAUACUAUUACGGAUUCCACGAACAUGAUAUUUAAAGAAAAGAAUGGAAGUACUAUUAUUAUGAAAUAUUAUGCAGAAUAAGAAAUUUCAAUAUGAUGUAUAAGUAUGAAAGGUUUUCGGGUUAUGUCCUCUGGUGAUCUGAACUCUGUCAGUAGGGGUUAAUUACUGACUUUCCAUGGAAAAUGGUAUAUGAUUGGCCAUUAAGUGGGACUGGCUCUACUGUACCCACCCCUUGUUGGUUACGGCCAACUUGUGGGGGGAAGCCAACCUACCCCCAUGGUUGGAAGAUAUGUAUUAUGAUGUAAUCCCGGGAAUACCUGGCAUUGUGGGGAAUGCUGGAUGCCUAGCACUGUGGUGCUAGAAGCCUCCCAAAUAAGUACAGACUUAUUAGAUAUGGGCUAACCAACAAGUUAUUUAUGAACAGCUAUAUUAUGUUAUUAAUCAUGAGAGAAUGAUUUUGUUUAAAUGCAUUAU
Quercus lobata is the source of this 716-nucleotide long non-coding RNA. RefSeq lists it as uncharacterized. NCBI's taxonomy places the organism in Eukaryota, Viridiplantae, Streptophyta, Magnoliopsida, Fagales, Fagaceae. The record is from RefSeq and is a predicted model, not a curated record. The transcript is spliced from 2 exons.